AUCUGGAGAUCCCUCCUUGGUGAAGCUUUCCCUUGCAAUCCUAGUGUUUUCUGAUAAAGAGUGUAGCAAGACAGGACCAGUGCCUAAAGCAGACCUGGGAGGUUGAUUUAUGUAACCUUGAAGAGGUCACUUAAAUCACAGCCUCCCUUGUGAGCACACUGGAACCAGCCCCAGCACACCUGGACUCCACGAAGGCCCCAAGCUGCUGCUGCUGGCUGUGCUGUGUGUCACAGGAGUUAAUGGCAUAAGAAGUCUCUUAGCUGUUCAGGCACCAAGUCUGGCGUGUGUAUUUCUCUGUGCCAGUUCCCGUACCUAAUAAAUGAGAGCCUGCUUUACUGACUGUAUCGAGGGGAUUAAUCAACUGCACGUUUUUAUGAAGUGCCUGGAGAUGCCAGAGAGCAGCAUACAGCACUGCAAGAGAUUCACUGUUGCUGCUUCCAGAAAAUAAAUUUGAAAGAUCUUUUUUUUUUAUUUGUGACUCAUAUUUUUUAACAAGCCUUCAAACUAAAAGGAAUGUUUUUGCCUGUUCUUUGAUACUGAGAUGUGUCACUGGACUCCCAUUGUCUGGCAUGAUGUACUAUAUUUCUUAAUUUGGUCAAGAGUAAUUCCAGUCAGAUCUUCCAAGAUUGCUUCAUUUACGUUUGUAUACUUGUGUGUAUAUAUAAAUGUUUACUUUGUUUUAUCAACUGUGCUGACUGUAGGGAUUUUUGUUUGCUUUGUUUUUGAGAUUGCUUUUGAAGCACUAAGAAAUGGUCACUGUUACCCAGCAAUAAAGAGUUGUUUGCCUCA
Lagopus muta (rock ptarmigan) is the source of this 789-nucleotide long non-coding RNA. RefSeq lists it as uncharacterized. Lineage: Eukaryota; Metazoa; Chordata; Aves; Galliformes; Phasianidae. The record is from RefSeq and is a predicted model, not a curated record. The transcript is spliced from 2 exons.